Molecule: long non-coding RNA, 8432 nt
Organism: Molossus molossus (Pallas's mastiff bat)
Lineage: Eukaryota; Metazoa; Chordata; Mammalia; Chiroptera; Molossidae
Exons: 3
Source: RefSeq, a predicted model, not a curated record
CGCGCCCGGUGGCCGUUGGCGCUCGCGCCGCGUCUUUCUUCUCGUACGCAGAACUCGGGCGGCGGCCUAUGCGUUUGCGAUUCGACGAGGAGUUGUCCGGGUGGUCGGCGGUGGCGGGCAGCUGCUCCGCCCCGCUCCCGGGGAGGCGGCGGCGGGAUUUGGCGCGGCCGGGGAAGCGGGGGUGGCUGGGGCCGGCCUGGAGGCCUGGCGCCACCCUUCGGGGCCUGCAAGGACCCAGUUGGAGGGACAGGAAGGUGCUGGGGGAUGGUUGGUGGUGGGCUUUCUACUUUGCCUUUUCCUCCUUAUGCCGCCUUAGUGAGAGGCGGGAGUUCUGGCGGCAGCUCCGGGGUAGGAGACAAGCUCCGGAGUCGGAAGAGCUGGGUUUGCUUCCGGGCCUAGCCACUAGCUGGCCGAGUGACCUUAGGCAAGUCACUCUGUAAUCUGUCUGCGCCUCAGUUUCCUCUUCUGUCUAACGAUGUUUGUGGGAUUAAAGCGCUUUGUAAACUAUAAAGCGUCAGUGUAUGCAAGGGAUAAUUAUUGUUUGUAAAAAUUUUUUUGAGUAAGAAAACAGCAAUUGCCUAAUCCAUGGAUUUUGAACCUGGGAGCCUUGGAUUGGAGUUGGAGAUACCCCAAACUCCCUUAAAUUGUAUGCAGAGUGGGAAUGUGCAUUUUAGGGGAAUGAGGAUCCAUCGCCAACAAGUUUUCAAAGGGAAAUGUCACCUCCCGAAGAGUUAAAGAUUUCUUUAUGCCAUAGGGAGGAAACUGAGGCCUAGAUGUUAUUUGGGAUCCUUCACAACCAAUUUGAAGCCCCUGUUUGAAUCCCUGGGAUAUGUGAGCUUUUCUGUGCAUAAUGGGUAUUGGGGUAACAACACUUCACUGCUUGGUUUUUUUCUGAGUUUUCCUUUCCCUAUGGGGUGCCUGAAGGGUGGCUAAUGCAUAUGGUACGGUGGCACCCAAUAUAAAGCAGCUGAAAUGGAUAUGUUCUCUAUCAAGAAUCCUAUUUAAUCUUUGGCCCAUUAACUCUUUGUUGCUGCUUAUACUGGUGCCAGACAACCUUUCUGACUCUUUCAUUGACCAUUUUUCACGACCAUGUUUGCCAUCUGUUACUUGCUCCUAUUUUAUAUUUCUAGUCUAUGUGGUUGCUAGUGAGCAGGCUUAUUUUUAAAUGGUGCUGCCAAGUCUAGCUAAUUAAUGGGGCAGGUGGAUCUUUAGCAAGCUGGCUCACUGGAAUAGACUGAACCAGCAUGGAAUUCCUGAAGAUGUUGGGGGGUUAUCUUUAUUAAUUGAAGGUUAACAUUUUCUGAAAAAUUGUGUUAGAACCUGCGCUGAACCUCAGAAUCAGUAGAUUUGGAAGUGUUUCAAAGCUUAACUUUUUUCUGGACUUUGUAUUCUAUUUGCUUGCAAGGGUGUUACUAAGGUGGCCAAAAUGCCAGUUUUUUGCUUCUUUGUUAAUUGUCAGCUGCUUUUGUCUAAUUCCAGGCUAUUACCCAGCAAACACUAUAGAAAUGUUUGAACAGUUGGAUUUCAAACAUUUUGUUUGGAGUGGUAUAACUCUAAGCAAGCGAACACACGUUUAAGUGUAUUUUGUCUGGUUAGGUGUUACCUGGUUCUGCUAUUAACAUACAAAUGUCUGAAAAAAAAUUGACUGUUCCCUUUACCUAAAGGGCAGAGACAAAUCUCACUUCCAGAGAAGUAAUGUUUUUGGAGAAAAAUGUGUUGGUCUUUUAGGUCUUCUGUAAUAAAAUCUGGAUGUACUUACUGCAAAAGAAUCUUAAGACUGUGGUGAUAAGAUGCUUUUUUCAGCAGAAAGGAGUGAAAAAAAACAACUGGAACUCAAAGCUUGAAAUACUGUGACAAAACAUGAGAUGUACAGGAUAGAAGGUUGAAAGGGUUUCACUACAAUGUUCUACACUAGCUGGAGCAGAUGUCUUUCAGUAUAGCCAUGGCAUGGACUCCAGAUUUGCAAGACCUGGGACCUGGAAGAGCUUAUGAGGAUAUGACAGGAACUCUGGAGCUGGGUAUUUUUCUUUUUGAAUUUUGGGACUAUUGACCUCGCUUUCAGAAGAGACAACGACUAAGCAAGCAAUGCCACCAGUGCUGUUACUGAGAAUUUGAAGACCUGAGUUUCUGCCAGACCCUCAGUGCAAACUCUGGUGACACUGCAUCCAAAGUGAACUACGAUAGCAAGCCCCUUGGGAAAAAAGGGUCUUGUCUUACGAAUCUUGGCCCACACAUACUACCACAUAUGAUGAAGCUUUUAAUAGAAAGGAAGAAUUUAGAGAGCAGGCUAUCUCAGAAUAAGCAUUCACCUACAGAUUUGAUACCCGGAUUUUUGUCCAUGGUGAUUUCUAUCACCUUACUACUGAAGAAGAUACCAUUCCAGUGGACAACUGUGACCCAGGAGACAUUCAGCCAUCAUGACGUGGCCUUCACCUCCACUCCUGUCCUGUUCUAACCAGAUUGGGUAUCACCCUUUAUGUGAAGUCAAACUCCUCAAGCCAAAUAGCUGAAACUGUUUAAUCACAACAAAGGCCCAGUUUGUUCCAUGAGUGUGUAUUUUGUUUCUUCAGUUAAAGCCUUCAGAGACAUGUAAUAAAUUUGGACCAGGGGAUUCUUAUUUAUCAACACUGUCUGAAGACUGGUAACAUCUUCUUGAGAGCGACAUUGAACCACAUUCCACAAUCUCAAAUGUUUGAAGUAUAUGAAGUGUUGAGGAUCCCAUACAGGUCACUGGACACUUUCUUUUUCCACUACAAAGCUGUAGUAUCCUACUGAAUGAGAAAGCAGAUAUUCUGACCCAUUGGGAUUAAAACAAAGGCACAGUGAAGUCCUCAUAGCAUCUUUGGGAUUACUCAGGAACCAGAACUUUUCACAAAAAUGUAAGAAAUUUACAAAGGAAUCUUUACCCAGCAUCUCACAAAGCUUCAAUCAGAUUCCAGAAAAGGCCUUGAGACAUCCAGGUAGAACCUAUAUGAUAAUCCCUUAUGUUUAUAUCGCACUUUACAGUUUCAAAGCACUUUUACAUGCAUUAAUAUCAAUGAUCAAAAUCACACAAUAGACUAUAAUCCCUUAUUUGCAAAAGAGGAAAUGGGAUUUGAAAGGUUAUCCAAGGUAACAACAGCUACCAACUGGUGGAGGCCAGGCCUUCUGACUCCCAGUCCAGUUCUUUUCUUGGAAUUAAUUUGGCCUCUACCUUACCCACAGUGUUAAAAUGACUACGGUUUGGGAACCCUAGAAGUUUUCCAGCUUCCUGAUCUGGUGCCCUUAACCAGGAUGUCAUAAAUGUAAUAUUGUGAUAACUGUACCUAGACUAGAAUUCCAUGGAAACCACCCCUAAGGUUUAGGAGCAGACUGUCUUUAUGAUGGUAGACUGUCCAGUCUGCAAAACACAUGUUCAUCUAACAACACUACCCAACAUGAAACACAAAGCUACUUUUAGAUCUUUUGUCCAUCUUCGUGGUCUUUCCAAAGAUGGUGUAAUUGGGGAAUCCCUGUUCCUAUCAUGCCCUUGUUUUUUUGUUGUUUUUAAGUCUUAUACUGUAGGACACACAAGAUCUUAUCUAUGGUUUUUUUUGUCCCCAAACUAAUAUUUAUACAAAAUGAGCCAUCCAUUUAGAACAGUACUGUUCAUGUAUGUGUAUUUGUAAACAUAAUAUAUAUGUCAUACACAUAGAGCUUCUGUAGUCCAGUAAGGAGGUAAAAAUACUGUAAAAUGUGUCCCUCCCUGAUAAUGCAGUGUAGUGUAUUAAAGGAUAUUAGAAUGCCUGCAGCGAAAAAAUAAUAACUCAUUUAGCUGUUUAGCCUGGUAUGUUCUAAGUUGAAUCAAGCACAGAAUGUUACUUUUGCAACAUUCCUUUCAGUGGAAUGAGGCAGCUGCUUAAGAGUGGCAUAGCCAGUGCAUCCUGAAUGCCAACAGAUUGCCCUGGAGACCCAGGAUUAUAAACUACAUCUUUGUCCCCCUCCUUUUUUUCUUACCAAUAACAGCUUUGAAUUAGUAUGUUUCCAUCAUCUGAGAGUCCUUUAACUUGACCAUUACCUUGAUUUUCUGUCAAAGGAAUCUCUAGAAGAUUCGUGGGAAUACAGGGGAAGGGAUUAGGGGAAAAUUAGUUCAUCCAAAUUUGAAUGGAUUUGAUGACAUUUAGUGAUACACUCCUUUGUCCCUAGAAUUGUGCUAUAAGUCUAGUUCAAGGGUAUUGCAUCUCAGGUGGGUGAGAAGAUUGUGAAAGGAAAAGAGGAAGAAGAUGAAGAAAACGGGAGGAGGGGUGAGAAGGAGAUAUUUUCUUAGAAUUUCUGAGUUGUGGCCCACUGAGAUCUUAGUGAUUGAGGAGAAGUCACCCAGCGUGGACUUCUUGGAAUAAUAUUUACGAAGAAGUGAACCCAUUUUGCAGCUGUAUCCUGACUACAAAAACCCCAGUGCUAUUGUCACUUAAAACCAAUAGCCUUGUUCUCUGGUCAUCACAAGCCCAAUGAGAAUUUAUAGCAGACUUGAACAUUAAAUUUUCUAAUUCUAUAAUGUGGCCCACUUUAGGGGAAGAAUGAAUAGGAAAACACCUUGGCUUACCAAAGGCUUUGCUCACAGUUUCUGGUUUCUGUGACCUAUUUUUUGUAUUUCAGCAUUUUGUGAACAACUUAUUCUUAGAUUGGUUUUCCAAAGGCUUUGUGGCCAUGAAGCCCUUUGAAUGAAAACUAUGUGGAAGCCCAAAGUAAAAGUGAAGCUGCUCUGGAUGAAGCAGGAGUAGGGGGUCCUGAAACCUGCCACAAGCAUCUUCCUUUACUACCAUGGUGACACCUAAGGAGACUUCUUUACAACACCUAGAAUUCUUCAGAACACAUUUUGAAAAACACUGCCCUAGACCACAACAUGUUCGACCUGAAUGGUAUUCUGAUCUGUACCUCUACUCAACACAGUUCAGUUGGUGCUGAACAUUCUUAGAAAUACUUACUGUGAGCAAACUCAGAAAGUUGCAAGAACUUUCUUUGUCCCCCAAGUAGUUAUAUGAGCCAAAAGUGAUAUCAAAUGGACCUAAAUUAACAGCCCUCUGCCCCCCAGAUGGACUUCCAAUAAUUCCUGGGUUUGGAUAUAGACAGUAAUUCAUACGUACUCUGCAGUGACAAAAAAAACCCUUACCCAACUUGCACAAACACCAGAUGCUCUAGUGGUACUUGAAAUAUGUGAAUUUGAAGUUUUGAUCCUCUUUGGAUACCUGAAGUAACAGGUAUAGAAGCUGAUGCUUCAUUGAGGCUAUAGUAGACCAACUUGUACAUUGGACCUCCCAUCAUCAGCCAUGGUACUCUACUUCAUGUACCAAUGAAUAACCAUUAACUAUGGAAGCAGACUUCAGAUACUGGCAACAUUAACCGAAAGGGUACCUGGUUUUAUCAUUCAUCUUAUUCUCAAACUACAAGUCACUAUGACUCAACCAGUGGCAGUAAUACCACUGCUUGGUUUCUAUUUAACUGCUGUUUCCAGGAUAAAUGAGCUAAUUUUUUAAAAGCUAAAACAGUUCCUCUGUUAUUGGCAUAUCUGCCUGGCAUAAUCUUCUCUACGAUUAUAAAUACCCAGCUCUAACUACAUGUCAGACCUGAUCCACAAGAGACCAUCUUUGAACAUCUUUUCUCAUGUAUGUGAUUUAAAAUGUGGCCAUUUGGAAAGUUUUCUUCUAACCAGUGAGUGAUUUUUUGUUUUUGUUUUUUUAAAUAUGUUUUUAUUGAUUUUUUUUUGUGGUACGUGCCCCUAACGGGAACCGAACCCAGGACUCUGGUCCGCAGGCCAACGCUCAACCUUGUUUUUGUUUUUUUAAGAUGAGUCUUUUGAUGUCUGGUACUAUCAACUGUAGGUAUUAGGGAUUUGAGGUAGGCCUUUUGACUAGGCCAUCAUAGCUUACUUACUGGGAAUCUCAAAUUGUGUAUCGUCUACUUUUUUGCUGGAAAUGUAGACUGACUUGAAAAACAAAUCUACAAAGCCUGCAGCUAAGGAUUUUGUCAGUAGAUUCAAGUUUGCUGCUGCUGCUUCCUGAUGUCACAAGACCACAGUCCCAUUGUCCUUGUGGAUAUGUUCAUGGAUUUUUACCUGUCUCAAUACUGUUUUACACUGAUUCAGAGUGGCCAACUUCAUUUCUUGCCAUGAGAUACUUUCAGUCAUUGAGACAACUUACCUGUUUCUGCAGGAAGGAUUCGGUUUAUGAACUUCCAGACCAAAUCAUGUUGAACAAGUAGACAUUGAUUUAUGUCAUGAGAAAAAUCUCAUUGACUUCACAGUUGACUUAAGGGUCAACUCUCCUCAACUACUUUAACAAAUGCACUGGUUAAAUGUUGGGAAUGGUUUCUUUAUAUCUCUUAUCCAAUAAACUAAUUAUGAUUACAUGAUAUAGUCUACAAAUUGUCAAACAAGGCCUAAGUCUUGUUAUUUUAGACCAUUCACCAUCAACAAAUAAAAAUAAAAUGAUGACUAUCCUGCUUGUAUAUACAACUAUUAUUUGUAAAGGAGAAACCUGCAAAGUCAGUUUUUUUAUUACCUUUCAAAUGUCAGCUAGAUUUUUUUUUCUCUUGUACAAAAAAAGACACUGAUCUACACUGCCAGUCCUUCCCUUUAAUCCUGUCAGACUCAGUCAAAAUGAGGGGCUUAACAUGAGGAUGAUCAUCUUUCAAGAGUUUAAUGAACACUGUAUAAGAAUUGAUGGUUAAAAAGCAAAAAGCCUAAGAUUCAAAUCUAGGAUCUUACCUACUAUCUCCCUGCCUCAGAUCUCAUCUAAGUCCAGCAGCACCAUUCAGUCAGUUUGAGGCCUUGACUUGUUUUUGAUUCCUAGAGAGGUGCUGAAUUGCAGAAGAUGGAGACUUGAUUACCAAAGAAAGUAGUGCCAAUCUUCAUGAACUCUAUACUCCCAGGUAUAGCGUAGACACCUAAACAGAACCUCAAGUCUGGACUGAGAAUAUAGCCUCCUGAGCUGAAAAUUCUUGGGCAAAUGAGCAGGAAAAUUAAAGCUGCUAUACCUGACUGGCCAUUUAAGAUCUGAAAAUUGUAUCCAGAAUAAACACUAUGGAUUAACCCUGGAGUAAAUACUCAGGGUAAAAACUAAUUUACAGAGCUUCAAUAUUAAACUACAUGUUCUUCCAUAUCAUACCCUGGUUAUUGGUAUUGCUGGCCCUGCUGAAGGUACCCUACUUACCUAUUUACCUAACUCAGCCCUUGCCUGCCUUGUUUUGACAUGUUGCUGCAAUCAGACUUGCUGUCCUUGAGAAGACUGCAACUGAACUCAGCCUCUCAUAUACCCAAUUUCACCAAGGAGUUUUGAACAGAAGCAACUGCACCUCACCCCACCAGGACUUGAUGUUCUCAACAGGAAGGACCAUGCUGUGUACUCUUUGACCAACAGCAGCCUUUUUUGUUUUUUAAGUACAGAGUAAGCCUCUAGGCCUAUAUGUAUUUGAUCAUUUUCAGCACCUGGGACCCUUUCUAACAGAUCUGAAGGAGUACAGCAGAUCAAAAGCACUGUUAGUUUCUCUCUUAUGCAGUAAUACAGAGGUGAGUUGGAUUCACCUGUACAGAAGUAAGAAUGUUCAACUUGGCAAAAGACUUGAACACAAGAAAAGUUUUCCAGGAACUUAAAAUUUACCACUGACUUGAAUAGCCUCACAGAACUACUUGUCAUUGGGAGACUAGUUGUCUUGCAUUAUGUCAACUAGAUAGUUGGGCUUUCAGACUCAUUGCUUAUAUUGAGACUCUAUUGUAUUAUCCAGAGUGUGUUACUGGACAUGAUUAUCCCAUUCAAAUGGAUUAUAAGCUUCCUGACUACAGGACAUAGUCCUCAUGAUGUUUUUUCGAAAUACUUUUAUUAUGAAGAAAGUAAAAUUGCCAGCUGUUACCAUUCAACUUUAUGAGCAGAGAUUAAACUUUUUCAAUAUCUGGUCUUAUCAUUUAUUUUUAAUUGACCAGCUUUCAUUUCAUCUCUUCGUAACAACUCCAUGAUGUUUCUUGGAACCACAUCUUCCAAUUUUUAGUCCACCUAGUUCAGACAGUCUGAUCUAACCUUAGGUUUCAUGUGUGGACAUGUAGUUCAGACCUGAUCAAUCAGUAUAGUUCAUCUCCUUGAUCAUAGUGAUUGAUUUGAUUCGGGAAUGGUCAUGUGAUUCAAGUUGGUCCAGUAAUACUCAGCCCUAGCAGUUUGACUGAUCUGUGGAAGAGGAAAAGCUCAGAAACGACUGAGGUUGCUUACCUUUGUGGGAUGAAAAAUCUCAAACCAGCAGGGUCUACCAUAUAAAAUGUGCCAGUCAGAGAAUGAAGCCAGUGCAAAGGAAAGCGGAGCCAAAUGAUGGAGAGACUUGAGUCCUGAUGACAAUGUUUGUGCUCCUAGAUCCACCCGUGCCUGAAGCUAGUAUAUCCUCUGGAUUUUUUUCAGUUUUGUGAACCAAUAAAUAUCCUUUUGUUUAAGUUA